RNAcentral lists this ribosomal RNA (815 nucleotides) under Epiactis georgiana. RNAcentral describes it as "partial 12S ribosomal RNA". It matches the Rfam family "Bacterial small subunit ribosomal RNA", at positions 327 to 1470 of the family's 1533-position model. The record is from RNAcentral. Lineage: Eukaryota; Metazoa; Cnidaria; Anthozoa; Actiniaria; Actiniidae.
AGGGGAAGACUCACAUAGAGGCAGCAGUAGAGAAUCUUGUGCAAUAAACGAAAGUAUGACACAGAGAGGACACAUUUAAUUGAGCCCGUCAAAUUAAGUGCCAGCCGACGCGGUUAAACUUAAGGGCUGGUCUUUAUAAGUAAAAAGGCGUAAAGGAUGUGUAGGCCAAGAAACGACCCAAGUAGGUAAAUGGAAUUUUUCUGGAGCGGUAGAAUGUGAGGAUAGAAAAUAGAACCCCUAAGGUAAAAACUAUUUACCACAAGGUAGGCUGAAACAUGAGAGUGUGGGGAGCAAACAGGAUUAGAGACCCUGGUAGUCCACACUGUGAACUUUGAAGAUGAUGCUUAGCAGACCCGAAAGGUAAAAUCUUCCGCCUGAGUAGUACGAUCGCAAGAUUAAAAUUCAAAAACUUUGGCUGUUCACUAUUUCGAUUAGAGGAGCGUGUAGUUUAAUUCGAUGGUCCGCGUGUUACCUUACCCCAACUUGAAUCUGUGACCGGUAUUGCAUGGCCGUCGUAAGUUCGUGUAUUAAGCUAGAAGGGACCCAACCCGGGCAUUUGCCCGGAGGAAGUCAGGUCUUAUGGUCCGAAUGUUGGGGGAUUUUAUGCGCUACAUUUUCUUAUAUAAUGAGAAACCUGGAAGGUGAGUCUCUAAAGUAAGAGUUCGGAAGGUCGCUGUAAGACGACUGGAAGUUGGAUUUAAUAGUAAUCGGAAAGUAGGGCGUUCCGGUGAAUUGGUACAAGUGUUAGCACAAAUUGCCCGUCACCUUUACUUAGAAUGGUUAUUCGGAUGUCUUCGGUGAUUAUGAAUGCCUAC